Long non-coding RNA from Cryptomeria japonica (Japanese cedar), 931 nucleotides. RefSeq lists it as uncharacterized. The transcript has 3 exons. Lineage: Eukaryota; Viridiplantae; Streptophyta; Pinopsida; Cupressales; Cupressaceae. The record is from RefSeq and is a predicted model, not a curated record.
UCCUUCAUUUAUAUGUUCAAUGCCAUUCCGUCUUUUAAAGUGAAUUUUUUUUGCCUUCUUCUCCUUUGUUAGUUCUUGCCCAUAGGGACUAUAGGGGAGGCCUCUUUCAUUAACUAGUGAUUAAUGCGGUGGCAACAGACCAAUUAGAAAUUAUUGUUUCCAAAUAUUGUUGCAUUUGCUAAUGUUCACACCCGUGAACUUGCACAUUAUUUAAACAAAAUGUUUUAAGAAAAUUGUGUGGCAUUUAAUGGUUGGCUUUGUUCACGGUGUGUAGAGGCUUGCAUGCUUCUCAAUGGGAGAGAACGCACACAUCCAGAGGAAGUUGCAGGGGUCGCCAAAACAAAUGUUUUCAAAGCGCAGUUGGUAAAAACAUGGCCGGCAAAAAAAACCCAAGGAUUGAAAGCAACAAUUGGUGAGAUCGCAUGUAGUAUGGAUUCAAGCUACACAGUCAUUGAUUAGGGUUUUCAUUUGCAAAUGACAGGCUGCUAUGGGAGAAUGGACGGGUGGCGGUUAGGGUUCUCGUUGUGCCAUUAUUAAAUUUCAAAGGUUGUGUUUUCUCAGUCAUUUCUCGUUGCCGCAUCAUCUCGGGUCUGCUUCUCCCUCCCCCAUACCCAUCUUUCCACAUACUUUGGUAAUCCUAGGCUUUCUCUAUGCAUCUAUCUCUCAUGCAAGUCCCUUAGUCCGAGUUUGAUACUUUGCCAAAAACCUUGAGAUAACAUAGAGGUCUUUGAAUGCAGAAGCUGAAAAACAAUCACAAAGCCUAGAAAAAAGAUCAGGACAGCCAGAAAAGUCUACAAAGAAAUUGAGUCAGAAAAUGCAAAUGAAAUUAAACAGUUCAUUACCACUGUACUAGUUUUUUACACAGUCAAUUGACAAACAAUGUUCAGGACAAAAACUUUCAAUUUAAAUACCAUGUAAUCAAUUAACAAUG